CAAAUGAAUUGACGGGGGCCCGCACAAGCGGGGAGCAUGUGGUUUAAUUCGAUGCAACGCAAAGAACCUUACCUGGCCUUGACAUCCAGAGAACUUAGCAGAGAUGCUUUGGUGCCUUCGGGAACUCUGAGACAGGUGCUGCAUGGNUGUCGUCAGCUCGUGUUGUGAAAUGUUGGGUUAAGUCCCGCAACGAGCGCAACCCUUAUCCUUUGUUGCCAGCGGUUCGGCCGGGAACUCAAAGGAGACUGCCGGUGAUAAACCGGAGGAAGGUGGGGAUGACGUCAAGUCAUCAUGGCCCUUACGGCCAGGGCUACACACGUGCUACAAUGGCGCAUACAAAGAGAAGCGACCUCGCGAGANCNAAGCGGACCUCAUAAAGUGCGUCGUAGUCCGGAUUGNAGUCUGCAACUCGACUCCAUGAAGUCGGAAUCGCUAGUAAUCGUAGAUCAGAAUGCUACGGUGAAUACGUUCCCGGGCCUUGUACACACCGCCCGUCACACCAUGGGAGUGGGUUGCAAAAGAAGUAGGUAGCUUAACCUUCGGGAGGGCGCUUACCACUUUGUGA
RNAcentral lists this ribosomal RNA (565 nucleotides) under Pantoea sp. DJM11. RNAcentral's name for it is "bacterial SSU rRNA". It matches the Rfam family "Bacterial small subunit ribosomal RNA", at positions 902 to 1467 of the family's 1533-position model. The record is from RNAcentral. Lineage: Bacteria; Pseudomonadati; Pseudomonadota; Gammaproteobacteria; Enterobacterales; Erwiniaceae.